RNAcentral lists this long non-coding RNA (328 nucleotides) under Helianthus annuus (common sunflower). RNAcentral describes it as "sRNA HanXRQr2_Chr16g0763771". Lineage: Eukaryota; Viridiplantae; Streptophyta; Magnoliopsida; Asterales; Asteraceae. The record is from RNAcentral.
CUAAAAUGAGUAGAUGUAUGCUCAUUUUGGUGAUUUUUUUGAAAAUUUGUGAAGAGCGGAAAGGAGAUCGGGACUGACCUCGUCCUUUCUUGAUUUGUUGUCAACACAACAACCCAGUAUGAUUCCCACCCAAUUCAGAUGGAUGAUCGCGUGUAGCUUGCUAUGAACAUUAAACAGUCGAUGUACUAUAUACAACAAACUUUGAUGCCGUUUGUUGGUCCGCGAUGAUGAAUAACAAGACAACAUCAUUGAGGGAUGGGUAGAUUGAUUGAUUGAUGAACACACUCAAAUUAUUUCAGCUGUGAGUUUUUAUAUUGUUAAAAAAACC